This 1017-nucleotide ribosomal RNA is filed under the name Triticum aestivum (bread wheat). RNAcentral describes it as "partial small subunit ribosomal RNA". The record is from RNAcentral. Lineage: Eukaryota; Viridiplantae; Streptophyta; Magnoliopsida; Poales; Poaceae.
AUGAGGGGCUUCAGUGUGGUCACUUGCACCUACUCCAGUGAAGAAACACAUCGUCGUGGUCAUCUGACUCACGAGGAGUCCCGACCACGUCGUGCCCGGGGCCGAUGGGGCGGCCGGCACCUAUCCGCAGUCCGAACGAACGGGCAUACUUCAGUGACGCUUUCGCCAUCUUCACGAUCUUUUGACAAAUACGCUGCCUCUGUUUCCCUGAAACUUAUACAUUUUCCUGAAAAUCGACUGGGCGUGGUUCAAAACCUUGAAGUGGUUAGCGUGCCUCUCAACUGUCCUUAUACAUGGACAGUGACCGAUGGAUGUAAAUCAAGAAGAUGCUUGAUUGACAUCGAAUUUAUCAAAAUGACUAGGCGUGGCAAACCGGAGUCUGUUUUGCGCUCUAGGGAGAUGAGGACGUUGGUGGAGCAAGCACAGUCUGGUUUUGCGCGUAUGCUGCGAGAAGGCAUCCUCACAGACAUCACCAUCAACGCCAUUGGUGGCAGCAUCAAGGCCCACCGCGCCGUCUUGGCCGCGCGGUCACCGGUGUUCUUGAGGAUGUUCUCACACAACCUCAGGGAGAAGAAGCUCUCCAAGGUGGACAUCUCCGACAUGUCCAUCGACGCGUGUCAGACCUUGGUCGGCUACCUCUACGGUGUCAUCGCGUCGGAGGACGAGCUGCUCGUGCACCGGGGCGAGCUGCUCGCCGCGAGUGACAAGUAUGGCAUCGCGGACCUCAAGAAGGCGUGUGAGGAGAGCCUUAGGAGGGACGUGAGCACGAAGAACGUGUUGGAGAGGUUGCAGGCGGCACACACCUACGGCCUGCCGGCGCUCAGGAGGACCUGGGUGAGGCUGCUUGUGGACUUCGGGAAGAUGUACGAGAUUCCUGAGGAUUUUGAGGAGUUCAUGGACGCCGCGGACCAGGAUCUCAUCGACGACAUCCGUUCGACUGCAACUCUCAGUGGGAGAAAACUUCCGGCCAGAGAGAAGAAGACUGCAACUAAAUUGACUCGGCGCCGCAGCUUCUAG